AAAUCCAACUUUUAAACGCUUUGUGAACAGGCCCAGAGGCAAAGUCCUGGGCGCAAACCCACGAGCCGAGCUGCGAGGCUGAGAGGAAGUGCUAGUCCAGCCCAACCCCGCACUGGAUUUGGUGUGGAAACCGUCAGAGGUAAAAGGGAUCGCUCAGAUGGGGGGCCCGCGGUGAGGGCAGGAGGCAAAACCCCACCGCCCGGCGCUCCCAGCCAGCGCGCAGCGGGAGGCGGCUGUGCCGCGGGCCCGUCCUUCGCGUCCGAGCUGCCGCGCACGCCCCGCGCGGAGCGCGGCACCGGGAGCCUCCGGUGGGGCUGGGUCCCGUCUCCCGCCCCAUCCGGCGCUUUGUCCCAGCCCCGGUGGCCGGCGGCCCCGCUGCGGGCCCCCGGGCCGCGGUGACAGCCCCCGUCCCCAUAGGGCUGCGAGCCCGGGAGUCCCUAUAGGCUGGCGACCGGUCGCCCGCCGGACCUCACCCAGGCGGGACGCGGCAGGAGGACGCUCGCCCUGCCGGAGGGGCCGCCGCCGCCGCCCGAAGCGCACGCAGGCCAAGCUCAGGCGCCAAAAGCCUUGGACUUCGAAACACACGACUUCCAACAUCCUAAGCUUACCCAAAAAUUCUCGACGAAAUACGCCAUGACCAUCGUGCCGCCGCCGCGCCGGGUUCCGCGUCCGCGCCCGCCCGCCGCUGUGUAAACACGGCCCGGCCCCCACAGCACCCCCGCCUUUCGCCGCCGCCGCCUUCUUCCCAGAGACCGGCCCGCACCUUCCAGGGCGCAUGCGCCACCUAGCGGCUGCCGCAGCUGGGCGAGCACUUAGACGCCACGGCCACGGUGUGCGCAUGCGCCCUGUCCCCAUUCUCGGGUGUUGGUAGAUCUCUCUGCAUCCCGGGCGCGGCUGGGUUGAGUGUUCUCUUAGGAAUGGUGGAGAACUGGGUCCUUGAGGAGUCACCGGGGAGACUGCUCGCACUGUUUGUGGUGCGACGGGCACUGGCCCAGGGACAGAGGGAAGAGAAGGGCCAGCCAGCGGCAGUGGAGUCGGCAGGCUGGCUGCCCACUCGCUUUCUCUCCUCACAAGACUCGCUUCCCCGGCCUUCGAGGAUCUCGAACGGACUAUAGUCUGGACUCGCUGGGCUGGAGGAAACUUGGCCGCUGGCCACCCGGAGGAGACUGAGAAGCCUUUGGUCAACAGGGCGCCUUUCCUUGAACCAAAACAAAACUUUCCGAAGCCGGAAAGGAAACGCCCAGUGUCGCCUGAGAGCCCUGGAGCUGCGCGAGACCCAGGCACUGAGUGCGGCCUCGGCCUCUGACCUCUAACACGCCGGGAACAAACCAGCUGGGGCGGCCCGCAGGCCUGCGGGAGCGGAAUGUGACCCGAAACCGACGGACUUCCUGACCCAUAGUCCAUAGUUCUCUUCAGCAACUUGAACAUUUUGGAAAAAGAAACAAGUCUUAACAUGCCACGACCUAAUGGAAAAACUAAAUCCCCUUCCUACACCUUGCUUUCCAAAAGUUAAAAAAAAAUAGUUAAACGCUAUUAGAGGUCUCAAGUUCACUGUCACCAGAUCAGCUAGGUCCAGAAUCUUCAGUUCUUGAAGCCAAGCCCUACAAAUAGAUUUAUUGUAGCAUAUCACACCUCUUCAGGUGACUUAAAACAAUGAGAAUUCAUGAGAAAUUAUCUUCAUCCUCAAGUAAAAAUCAUGAGGUGCCUUUCACAUGGAUGAAAUUGUAAGUGCUUGUUGAACAAGGAAUAAUUGGA
RNAcentral lists this long non-coding RNA (1755 nucleotides) under Homo sapiens (human). Its description in RNAcentral is "HSALNT0327290". The record is from RNAcentral. Lineage: Eukaryota; Metazoa; Chordata; Mammalia; Primates; Hominidae.